GGGCCUGUACUGGUUUCGACAGCAUAGGUUACGGUAAGUAUAAGCAUGCAGUGCGUUGGGUAAUUAGCACUUAAAUCUGAAUACUCAAACUAUAAAUGGCAAUACACAGUAUGCCAUGGCUGCCUAAUUAGUAAUUAGUCAGUCAUUCGGGCCGCCGCACAGGUUUUCCUGUUACCAGGUGCCGCCGCCGACUCAAAAAAAACACAGGAUGCUGUAGUGGAAGGCUGUGACUACUGCAAAAGACAAAUAC
Molecule: transfer-messenger RNA, 250 nt
Filed under: Hydrotalea flava
Lineage: Bacteria; Pseudomonadati; Bacteroidota; Chitinophagia; Chitinophagales; Chitinophagaceae
Description: partial transfer-messenger RNA
Rfam family: transfer-messenger RNA
About the family: Bacterial tmRNA, also known as 10Sa RNA or SsrA, is named for its dual tRNA and mRNA-like properties. Its role is to liberate the mRNA from a stalled ribosome.
Source: RNAcentral